This 260-nucleotide ribosomal RNA is filed under the name uncultured Glomeromycotina. RNAcentral's name for it is "partial large subunit ribosomal RNA". The record is from RNAcentral. Lineage: Eukaryota; Fungi; Glomeromycota.
CAGUCGUACCGACGAGAAGUCAGCUUUUCGAAUGUGCAUUUGUGGGCGUAGGUGAGAGCUUCACGGCCUUGUUGUUUGCAAUAUGUAUGUUUCUUUGGUGUACUUUUUCGUAUGGUAGGUCAAUGUCGGUUUUGAUCGCCAUAAAAUGAUCGGAGGAAUGUAGCUUCGGCCUCGGUUGAAGUGUUAUAGCCUUUGGUAAAUGUGGUAAUUAGGACCGAGGAUUGCAACGAAUACCUUUUAGGCUAUCCGCCUGACCUCUG